Ciona intestinalis (vase tunicate) is the source of this 267-nucleotide unclassified non-coding RNA. It matches the Rfam family "Nuclear RNase P". From Rfam's summary of the family: Ribonuclease P (RNase P) is a ubiquitous endoribonuclease, found in archaea, bacteria and eukarya as well as chloroplasts and mitochondria. Its best characterised activity is the generation of mature 5'-ends of tRNAs by cleaving the 5'-leader elements of precursor-tRNAs. The record is from Ensembl. Lineage: Eukaryota; Metazoa; Chordata; Ascidiacea; Phlebobranchia; Cionidae.
GUGGUGGCAAGCUUGCUUAUGGGCUAAGCGGCAAUUGGGACCGCUUGACCCUGGGAAGGUCUGAGACAAUGACGUUAAAUCUUCCGUGAUGGGAGACGUAAUAAAUACGUUGGAAGGUACCAGAAAACAACGGGAUAAUCGCUUGCGUAAGACCGAAAGCGACGCUAUGCGGUUGUCCCCGGUUGAAAAUCUUCCAGUCAGCGAUUACAGUUCAAUUAGCAAGGCGGCCCUUCGGUCGUAACUCAAUUCAGACUACUCUGCAACCAC